GCACAAGCGGUGGAUGAUGUGGAUUAAUUCGAUGCAACGCGAAAACCUUACCUACCCUUGACAUGUCUGGAGCCUUGGUGAGAGCCGAGGGUGCCUUCGGGAGCCAGAACACAGGUGCUGCAUGGCUGUCGUCAGCUCGUGUCGUGAGAUGUUGGGUUAAGUCCCGCAACGAGCGCAACCCUUAUCCCCAGUUGCCAUCAGGUAAAGCUGGGAACUCUGGGGAGACUGCCGGUGAUAAACCGGAGGAAGGCGGGGAUGACGUCAAGUCCUCAUGGCCCUUACAUCCCGGGCUACACACGUGCUACAAUGGCAGGUACAGAGGGCUGCGAAGCCGCGAGGUGGAGCGAAUCCCAGAAAACCUGUCUCAGUCCGGAUUGAAGUCUGCAACUCGACUUCAUGAAGGCGGAAUCGCUAGUAACCGCGAAUCAGCAGGUCGCGGUGAAUACGUUCCCGGGCCUU
RNAcentral lists this ribosomal RNA (459 nucleotides) under uncultured Latescibacterota bacterium. Its description in RNAcentral is "bacterial SSU rRNA". It matches the Rfam family "Bacterial small subunit ribosomal RNA", at positions 923 to 1382 of the family's 1533-position model. Lineage: Bacteria; Pseudomonadati; Candidatus Latescibacterota. The record is from RNAcentral.